This 20-nucleotide small RNA is filed under the name Arabidopsis thaliana (thale cress). Its description in RNAcentral is "AGO4_04579". The record is from RNAcentral. Lineage: Eukaryota; Viridiplantae; Streptophyta; Magnoliopsida; Brassicales; Brassicaceae.
UCCGGGCUAGAAGCGACGCA